This 415-nucleotide ribosomal RNA is filed under the name Clavibacter sp. F78. RNAcentral's name for it is "bacterial SSU rRNA". It matches the Rfam family "Bacterial small subunit ribosomal RNA", at positions 117 to 546 of the family's 1533-position model. The record is from RNAcentral. Lineage: Bacteria; Bacillati; Actinomycetota; Actinomycetes; Micrococcales; Microbacteriaceae.
GUGAGUAACCUGCCCCCGACUCUGGGAUAACUGCUAGAAAUGGUAGCUAAUACCGGAUAUGACGACUGGCCGCAUGGUCUGGUCGUGGAAAGAACUUCGGUUGGGGAUGGACUCGCGGCCUAUCAGGUUGUUGGUGAGGUAAUGGCUCACCAAGCCUACGACGGGUAGCCGGCCUGAGAGGGUGACCGGCCACACUGGGACUGAGACACGGCCCAGACUCCUACGGGAGGCAGCAGUGGGGAAUAUUGCACAAUGGGCGCAAGCCUGAUGCAGCAACGCCGCGUGAGGGAUGACGGCCUUCGGGUUGUAAACCUCUUUUAGUAGGGAAGAAGCGAAAGUGACGGUACCUGCAGAAAAAGCACCGGCUAACUACGUGCCAGCAGCCGCGGUAAUACGUAGGGUGCAAGCGUUGUCC